GACGAACGCUGGCGGCGUGCUUAACACAUGCAAGUCGUACGGUAAGGCCCUUUCGGGGGUACACGAGUGGCGAACGGGUGAGUAACACGUGAGUAACCUGCCCACAACUUUGGGAUAACGCUAGGAAACUGGUGCUAAUACUGGAUAUGUGCUCCUGCUGCAUGGUGGGGGUUGGAAAGCUCCGGCGGUUGUGGAUGGACUCGCGGCCUAUCAGCUUGUUGGUGGGGUAGUGGCCUACCAAGGCGGCGACGGGUAGCCGGCCUGAGAGGGUGACCGGCCACAUUGGGACUGAGAGACGGCCCAGGCUCCUACGGGUGGCAGCAGGGGGGAAUAUUGCACAAUGGGCGCAAGCCUGAUGCAGCAACGCCGCGUGCGGGAUGACGGCCUUCGGGUUGUAAACCGCUUUCAGCAGGGACGAAGCUUUUUGUGACGGUACCUGCAGAAGAAGCACCGGCUAACUACGUG
RNAcentral lists this ribosomal RNA (465 nucleotides) under uncultured bacterium. RNAcentral's name for it is "partial 16S ribosomal RNA". It matches the Rfam family "Bacterial small subunit ribosomal RNA", at positions 28 to 507 of the family's 1533-position model. The record is from RNAcentral.